CGGGACACGUGGUAUCCUGUCUGAAUAUGGGGGGACCAUCCUCCAAGGCUAAAUACUCCUGACUGACCGAUAGUGAACCAGUACCGUGAGGGAAAGGCGAAAAGAACCCCGGCGAGGGGAGUGAAAAAGAACCUGAAACCGUGUACGUACAAGCAGUGGGAGCCUCUUUAUGGGGUGACUGCGUACCUUUUGUAUAAUGGGUCAGCGACUUAUAUUCUGUAGCAAGGUUAACCGAAUAGGGGAGCCGAAGGGAAACCGAGUCUUAACUGGGCGUUAAGUUGCAGGGUAUAGACCCGAAACCCGGUGAUCUAGCCAUGGGCAGGUUGAAGGUUGGGUAACACUAACUGGAGGACCGAACCGACUAAUGUUGAAAAAUUAGCGGAUGACUUGUGGCUGGGGGUGAAAGGCCAAUCAAACCGGGAGAUAGCUGGUUCUCCCCGAAAGCUAUUUAGGUAGCGCCUCGUGAAUUCAUCUCCGGGGGUAGAGCACUGUUUCGGCAAGGGGGUCAUCCCGACUUACCAACCCGAUGCAAACUGCGAAUACCGGAGAAUGUUAUCACGGGAGACACACGGCGGGUGCUAACGUCCGUCGUGAAGAGGGAAACAACCCAGACCGCCAGCUAAGGUCCCAAAGUCAUGGU
This 640-nucleotide ribosomal RNA is filed under the name Escherichia coli. Its description in RNAcentral is "partial 23S ribosomal RNA". It matches the Rfam family "Bacterial large subunit ribosomal RNA", at positions 418 to 1059 of the family's 2925-position model. Lineage: Bacteria; Pseudomonadati; Pseudomonadota; Gammaproteobacteria; Enterobacterales; Enterobacteriaceae. The record is from RNAcentral.